RNAcentral lists this non-coding RNA (135 nucleotides) under Dryobates pubescens (Downy woodpecker). RNAcentral describes it as "Picoides pubescens (downy woodpecker) Eukaryotic large subunit ribosomal RNA". It matches the Rfam family "Eukaryotic large subunit ribosomal RNA", at positions 815 to 954 of the family's 3401-position model. The record is from Rfam by way of RNAcentral. Lineage: Eukaryota; Metazoa; Chordata; Aves; Piciformes; Picidae.
CCAAAAAGGCUUCUCAUCUACCUGGGCAGGGCGAAGCCAGAGGAAACUCUGGUGGAGGUCCGUAGCGGUCCUGACGUGCAAAUCGGUCAUCCGACCUGGGUCUAGGGGAGACUAAUCGAACCAUCUAGUAGCUGG